GAUGAAGAACGCAGUGAAAUGCGAUACGUAGUGUGAAUUGCAGAAUUCAGUGAAUCAUCGAAUCUUUGAACGCACAUUGCACCUCUCGGUAUUCCGGGAGGUAUGCCUGUUCGAGCGUCAUUUGUACCCUCAAGCUCUGCUUGGUGUUGGGUGUUUGUUCCGCCUCUGUGUGUGAACUCGCCUCAAAACAAUUGGCAGCCGGCGUACUUGUUUCGGAGCGCAGCACAUUUUGCGAUCCAGAUCAACGUACAGCGGCAUCCAAGAGGCCUUAUUUAACGCUCUUGACCUCGGAUCAGGUAGGGAUACCCGCUGAACUUAAGCAUAUCAAUAAGCGGAGGA
Molecule: unclassified non-coding RNA, 339 nt
Filed under: soil metagenome
Description: partial contains 5.8S ribosomal RNA, internal transcribed spacer 2, and large subunit ribosomal RNA
Rfam family: 5.8S ribosomal RNA (bases 1-120)
Source: RNAcentral